This 431-nucleotide ribosomal RNA is filed under the name Hylophorbus richardsi. RNAcentral's name for it is "partial 16S ribosomal RNA". The record is from RNAcentral. Lineage: Eukaryota; Metazoa; Chordata; Amphibia; Anura; Microhylidae.
AUUUUUUUCUCUACAUAACAUUAACUAUAUAAAUAGAUUUAAAGUUUAUUCAAAUAAGGUACAGCCUAUUUGAAACAGGAUACAACCUCCAACAAAGGGUAAUGUUUAAACAAAUGUGAUUAAGUAGGCCCAAAAGCAGCCAUCUUUUAAAAAGCGUUAAAGCCUCCUCACAUCAAAUGAUUAAUAUCAACCUUAACCCAAAACCCCCCACCCCUACUGAAUGAUUUCAUAUUUAUAUGAAAACCCUUAUGUCAGAACUAGUAACAAGAAUAACCAUUCUCCAAUAAUUGUAAGUGUAAGCCGAAAUGGACCACCCAUCGGCACCCACCGUUAAUGAAUCCACAGUAAUAACUUUCCUCAAGAAAACCUUACUUUUUUCCAACGUUAACCUUACACAAGGACAUUUCUGGAAAGAUUAUAAAAGAAGGAAG